This 701-nucleotide ribosomal RNA is filed under the name Rahnella sp. 100-p8_H2. RNAcentral describes it as "bacterial SSU rRNA". It matches the Rfam family "Bacterial small subunit ribosomal RNA", at positions 73 to 773 of the family's 1533-position model. The record is from RNAcentral. Lineage: Bacteria; Pseudomonadati; Pseudomonadota; Gammaproteobacteria; Enterobacterales; Yersiniaceae.
CUUGCUACUUUGCCGGCGAGCGGCGGACGGGUGAGUAAUGUCUGGGAAACUGCCUGAUGGAGGGGGAUAACUACUGGAAACGGUAGCUAAUACCGCAUGACGUCGCAAGACCAAAGUGGGGGACCUUCGGGCCUCACGCCAUCGGAUGUGCCCAGAUGGGAUUAGCUAGUAGGUGAGGUAAUGGCUCACCUAGGCGACGAUCCCUAGCUGGUCUGAGAGGAUGACCAGCCACACUGGAACUGAGACACGGUCCAGACUCCUACGGGAGGCAGCAGUGGGGAAUAUUGCACAAUGGGCGCAAGCCUGAUGCAGCCAUGCCGCGUGUGUGAAGAAGGCCUUAGGGUUGUAAAGCACUUUCAGCGAGGAGGAAGGCGUUGURGUUAAUAGCUGCAACGAUUGACGUUACUCGCAGAAGAAGCACCGGCUAACUCCGUGCCAGCAGCCGCGGUAAUACGGAGGGUGCAAGCGUUAAUCGGAAUUACUGGGCGUAAAGCGCACGCAGGCGGUUUGUUAAGUCAGAUGUGAAAUCCCCGAGCUUAACUUGGGAACUGCAUUUGAAACUGGCAAGCUAGAGUCUUGUAGAGGGGGGUAGAAUUCCAGGUGUAGCGGUGAAAUGCGUAGAGAUCUGGAGGAAUACCGGUGGCGAAGGCGGCCCCCUGGACAAAGACUGACGCUCAGGUGCGAAAGCGUGGGGAGCAAAC